GAUCUUUAUCUGCAGGUCCCUCUUACUUUUUAAUCGCAUGGUUUUCCUUUAAGGGUCAGUCUGCGUCACUGAAUUUCCCAGGGUUUCUUUCCCCUGGAGGGCUCAGUAAAUGUCAGUUCAGGAAGACUUGGAGUUUGUGGUCAGCCAGGAACACGGGCAAGACGACGUGCAACUUGCUUGCUGACGCAGUCCCCGGACCUGCAGGGCCUAUGUGCCGAGAUCCCCAGUGGGUACCCGAAAGUACCGAUCGCACCGAGCUCUCUCUCUUGUUUCUUCCUGUAUGUGUUGCAGAGCUGUCACGUGGUGCCAGGGUUAAUCUCCCAACCAUGUUUUAUGCCCUGAUGCCUCUUUUGCAUCAUUAGUCUUUCACUUGGGGGGGGGGUGUUUAAAGUAAAAUAAUGAUUUGACCACAAAACGCUGCAGUACCACGACUGCGCUCCUGAUAACUGAACUCAUUACUACGUGGCCAAUCAGCAGGUCGUGUCUGCAGUAUUGAUACAAUGGAUGAAGGGAUGACCCCUGUCCCAGGUGGGGCAAACCAGGAGAUUUCAUCAUGCUACCCCAAGUGAUAUGCAGUUUA
This 580-nucleotide long non-coding RNA is filed under the name Chinchilla lanigera (long-tailed chinchilla). RNAcentral describes it as "lncRNA (ENSCLAG00000023834.1)". Lineage: Eukaryota; Metazoa; Chordata; Mammalia; Rodentia; Chinchillidae. The record is from RNAcentral.